AGAGAGAGACAUGCGCGCAUAUCAAUAAGCGGAGGAAAAGAAACUACAAGGAUUCCCCUAGUAACGGCGAGUGAAGCGGGAAGAGCUCGAAUUUGAAAUCUUAAAGGGUUUCCCUUUACGAAUUGUAGUUUAAAGAAGUGUUUUCUGUUGAGGUUUUGGUAAAAGUUCUUUGGAAUAGGACAUCAUAGAGGGUGAGAAUCCCGUAUUUGACCUUUACUUUCAACUUUGUGAUACACUUUCAAAGAGUCGGAUUGUUUGGGAAUGCAGUCCAAAAUGGGUGGUAAAUUUCAUCUAAAGCUAAAUAUUGGCGAGAGACCGAUAGCGAACAAGUACCGUGAGGGAAAGAUGAAAAGAACUUUGAAAAGAGAGUUAAACAGUACGUGAAAUUGUCAAAAGGGAAGCGUUUGACACCAGUGUUGUUUUUCUGAAAAUCAAUUAAAGAACUGUUUAUGCUAAGCUGUUUAGACUUUAUCAGCUAACUGUUUAGUUUUGAGCUUUUCUUUAAUGCACUUUUCAGUUAACAAGUCAACAUCAAUUUCUUUUGCUGUAAAAAAGCUUGAGGAAGGUGGCUUGAGAUUCGUCUUAAGUGUUUAUAGCCUCUUGCCUAUGCAGUCGGAGAGAUUGAGGUCUGCAGCGUAGAUCCUUCGGGGCUAAAUGCAUUUGUGCUAAGUUAUAGCAUUUUAUAGACAACUUGUUGACUAUGAUUUGUCUUGUAGCUUACUCGCUUAUGUUAUUUUACCUACGCUUAGGAUGUUGAGCGCAUGUCUCUCUCU
Molecule: ribosomal RNA, 773 nt
Filed under: uncultured Neocallimastigales
Lineage: Eukaryota; Fungi; Neocallimastigomycota; Neocallimastigomycetes; Neocallimastigales
Description: partial large subunit ribosomal RNA
Rfam family: Eukaryotic large subunit ribosomal RNA
Source: RNAcentral